RNAcentral lists this long non-coding RNA (799 nucleotides) under Gadus morhua (Atlantic cod). Its description in RNAcentral is "lncRNA (ENSGMOG00000029141.1)". The record is from RNAcentral. Lineage: Eukaryota; Metazoa; Chordata; Actinopteri; Gadiformes; Gadidae.
AUGGAGGAGGAGGAGGAGGAGGAAGACGUCGUCGGGCCGGACGGUCAGCCCGGGUACCACCACGCGGUGGCCCUGGCCCACGGCCUCGUGGAGCUGCGUCACCACGCCUUCGUCACCGCCCGUCAGACCAGAGGCAUCAUCGCUCUCUGGGAGAGGCUGACGGAGCGGGACAAGGCGCCGGUGACCUUCACCCCCCGCCACCAGGACCGGCUGGCUAAAGGGCAGUUCAAGACCAGCAACCGCCACGCCCACAUCCCGGGAGUGGACAGUGUGAAGCGUGUCGUCGUGGGUAAGGGUGCGGGAGCGGCACAGUACCCAAGCCUCAGCAGGGUCGUCGAGGCCAUCAUGUUGGAGCUGUGCCGCGUCCACAGCGGCGACGCCAAGACCAUCGCCGGGGCACGCCUCAACCGCUGGGGUGCCGUCAUGAGGGAUUACAAAUUGAUCCAGGACAACGUGGUCAACUGUCCUGCCCUCAUGGCGAGCACCCGCAUCAUGCUGUUUGACGUGAACCAGCGGACCCUGUCCAUGUGGCAAAACACCAGGGAAAAAAAUAAGAUGAGGGACACCCUCUCCCUCGCAGUCCCGGGGCCCAGCGCUCCCCAGACUGCAGCGGAGCCCCUGUCGGCCCCACGGACUCUGCUGCAGCAGCCCCAGCAGCCAGACCAGCCCCUCCAGCACCACCUGCCCGCGGAUGCCUCUGGUCUGGCGGCAACGAUCAGAGGGCCGCUGGCCCCGGAGCUCUACGACCUUGUGGUGAAGCAGCAGAGUGCCGCCGCCGCCACCCCCCCGGACCUCAGCC